GUUCGGCGUUCGAGAAAGGCAGGGAGCAAUUCAGCUUCCUGGAGAAGAGAACUGAGAGAAGGUGUGUUCUGGCAUGGUGGGCGAGGUGAGGCAAGGACAGGAAGCAGAGGCUCUGGAGAACCGCCCAGGGGGUGUGGAGCCUGUAGGAUGCGGUUCCGUGAGCUGGCUCCCAGCCAUGCUUUCUGAAUGACUCUGGUAUACUCAUCACUUCUGUGGCCUCUCAGUCCACUUGGGUAUAGCUUCUGCUCUCCUCCACGUCAUGAAGUCUCUCCCCAAGGACCCCAACGAGCUCCAAGACACUAAAUCAACCAGACACUUGUUCUUCAAUAGCCUUUUAUGCGGUGAAGACUCUUCAACUCUCGUGCGACUCUCUGUCCAACUUCGUACUAGACAGCUCCGUUCGGCUACUUUGCUAUAACAAAGAGAAUGCAAAAUACAGUGGCUCAAGGAAGACAGAAAUUUAUGCUCUUUCACACCACCGUGCAGAGUCUGGGGAGGUCUGUUCCACAAAGGUGUCCAGAGACUUUGGUUUUUCUACCUUGCUGCUUCACCAUCUAGGGUACUGUCCUCUUCCACAGAGUGGCAUAUGUCUCAACAGCACUGUGUUCCAGCAUGCAUGAAAGGGAAGAGGAAGCUGAAGGCGACCAGGCCCCUUUUACAAAAGUGACGCAGCACAUGGCACUUACACACCCAACCUGGGUGGCCAUACCUAGUUGCAAGCUAAGCUAGGGAGAGUGGCCUUGCAGUCAGUUAAAGCUGAGGCAUUUUGUUGCAAAAGUGAAAAAUAGAAGGCCCUGGGCUUUUUCAAUCCUUGCUAGAAGGAUAAGAAAUUAAGAAAAUCUGUAUAAGUGACCUGAGGCACAAAGACAAAGUUUAUCCAACUGACUAGUCAGAUCAUG
This 899-nucleotide long non-coding RNA is filed under the name Equus caballus (horse). Its description in RNAcentral is "lncRNA (ENSECAG00000028510.2)". Lineage: Eukaryota; Metazoa; Chordata; Mammalia; Perissodactyla; Equidae. The record is from RNAcentral.